RNAcentral lists this ribosomal RNA (466 nucleotides) under uncultured soil bacterium. Its description in RNAcentral is "bacterial SSU rRNA". It matches the Rfam family "Bacterial small subunit ribosomal RNA", at positions 26 to 507 of the family's 1533-position model. The record is from RNAcentral.
AGGAUGAACGCUGGCGGCGUGCUUAACACAUGCAAGUCGAACGAUGAAGCCGGAGCUUGCUCUGGUGGAUUAGUGGCGAACGGGUGAGUAACACGUGAGUAACCUGCCCUUGACUCUGGGAUAAGCACUGGAAACGGUGUCUAAUACCGGAUACGAGCUUUAGCCGCAUGGCUAGGAGCUGGAAAGAAUUUCGGUCAAGGAUGGACUCGCGGCCUAUCAGGUAGUUGGUGAGGUAACGGCCCACCAAGCCUACGACGGGUAGCCGGCCUGAGAGGGUGACCGGCCACACUGGGACUGAGACACGGCCCAGACUCCUACGGGAGGCAGCAGUGGGAAUAUUGCACAAUGGGCGCAAGCCUGAUGCAGCAACGCCGCGUGAGGGACGACGGCCUUCGGUUGUAAACCUCUUUAGUAGGAAGAAGCGAAGUGACGGUACCUGACAAGAAAAGCACCGGCUAACUACGUA